UAGGGAGACCUAAUCCAUUUAGAAAUCGAAAACAAUGAAAAUUGUCAAUAGAAACUAAAUUGGUCUAACCUAGGUCGUUCGAGAUUGGUAGACAUCUUUCAAAGUAUUAUUCGGCUUCGUUCAAAACCAUAUAUAAUAAAUGGAAAAAGACAGCACCUAAUUGUCAAAGUUAGACUGCUGGAUGAAGUUCCAGCCAGAACCUUGAAAACUGCAUAAGAGAACAAGAAAAAGCAGGCAGACACAGACAUUUAGUUGGAUGUGGAAGCAAAAGAAAUUGU
RNAcentral lists this unclassified non-coding RNA (278 nucleotides) under uncultured Anabaena sp. RNAcentral's name for it is "partial 16S-23S ribosomal RNA intergenic spacer". The record is from RNAcentral. Lineage: Bacteria; Bacillati; Cyanobacteriota; Cyanophyceae; Nostocales; Nostocaceae.